Molecule: ribosomal RNA, 106 nt
Filed under: Pteropus alecto (black flying fox)
Lineage: Eukaryota; Metazoa; Chordata; Mammalia; Chiroptera; Pteropodidae
Source: RNAcentral
AGCUACGGCCAUGCUACCCUGAACAAGCCCGGUCCUGUCUAAGCAGGGUCGGGCCUGGUUAGUACUUGGAUGGGAGACCACCUAGGAAGACCAGGUGCUGUAGGUG